RNAcentral lists this long non-coding RNA (2199 nucleotides) under Homo sapiens (human). RNAcentral describes it as "HSALNT0277185". Lineage: Eukaryota; Metazoa; Chordata; Mammalia; Primates; Hominidae. The record is from RNAcentral.
CAGGAAUCUCAGAGUAUAUUCGCUGGGUGGUUCUUAGGAUUCCUCAUGAGGUUGCAGUCAUCUGAAUACUUGCUCUGGGAUGUAAGAUCUAAUUCUAUGCUGGCUCCCACAUACAUGCCCGGCAGUUGAUGCCAGCUAUCAAUAAGAAGGCUCACGUUUUUGCCACUCCAGAAGUCUGCUUGAGAGUCUUUACAACAUGCUGGCUUCCCCCAAAGUGAGUGGUCCCAAAGACAGCAAGGUGGAGGCAAGGUUAUCUUGAAAACUUGGCCUCAGAAGUAACAUGGCAUCAUUCCUGCAACAUCUUAUUGGUUAUAUAGGUCCAGCUUCACUGGAGCUGCUCCAGCCUUAUGAGAGCAUUUCGUCACAGCACCUGAAGUUCAACCAUUGUUAAGUGUGGUCCCCACUGAACUAUAAACCAGGCCCAGCAGCCAGAAAACCCAGAUCCCAUUCUGGGAAAAGCUAUAUGUUAGAAAGAAACAUAUGUGAUCUCUUGUUGGGCAAUUCAGUUGCACUUCUUGGCCUAAUUCAUGAAAAAAAAAAAAAAAAAAAACUUGUAAGUAUUAAGCCUUCUUCCCACCCUAGAAUCCUAUGAUUUCAUGCUCUCUUCAGUCUCUCCCAGAAGAAAAUGUCCAGUAUUCAGGAAGCAUAGCUUCCCAGGAAACAGAUAGGGUAGCAGCAGUUUACCCACCCCCUACAUGACAGGAACAAUGAGUCUGCCUCCUAAAGGACGGCAGGGGGCUGGAAGAUUACAGUUCUCUAAAGACAACCUCUGCCAUCCUCCAUAGAGACCAGCACAAAGGCAAUUAAGGAUGAGUAGGAGGCCAGUUUUUAGAGUCCACCAUCAAUAUUUUCUGCAGCCACAGUCCUGAAUCUCACUUCAUCAUCUUUCUGAUGUUGGUAACAAGCGGGCAUUGGGUCUAAGAGAAAAGGAGAAAAAUUAGGGCUCCCAGCUAGACAGGUGAAUCAUGAAACAGCCACUGCCCUGCCGCUUCCCUUCCUGAGCUCGGGAUCACGCGCACCCCAGUGAUGGCAUGGGGGUGACUUUCUGGGCCAGCUGGAGCAAGAUCAAAGGCUGGUAGACAUGUAGGGCCUUGUCUGAAAACUGGCAAGAAAUGUUUUCCUGAUUUAAAGCCAACUGUCUAGAGUGAUGACUGUUAGUUUAGAACAGGAUCCUUGGAUGGAAGUGACAGAGCCAUCCCCCUCCUCAGCAGCAUCCUUAGAAGGGCUCCCUUUCAUCCCCUACAGGAAGUACCAUUCCCAGCAGGCCUUCCAUGCAGGAGCCAUGCUUAAUAUACUGGUUCUUCAGGAACACCCAGAGAAGGAACCUGCCCCCAUCAAAAGCUCAGAGAGUCCUUGUCUAGACACAAUGACAGUAACUUAGCUGAAAUAAGCCACAGAGAGGGAAACAGGACAUAGGAGAAAGGGCACAGAUACUGGAGUCAGACAGUUCUGGAUAUUCAUCCUGGCUCUGCCAUGUACCGGUUACAUGAUUUGUAGUUAGUUAACUCCCCUAUGCCUCAGUUCCUUUGUAUGUACAAUGGGAAUAAUAACAGGACCUAGUCCAUAGAGGUGUUGUUGAGAAACAGACCAUGAGAGAACCAUGUAAAACAUGAGAAAUGAAGUAAAUGAUUCUUUAUUAUUAUACUUUAAGUUAUGGGAUACAUGUGUAGACCAUACAGUUUUGUUAUAUGGGUAUACAUGUGCUAUGGUGGUUUACUGCACCCAUCAACCCAUCAUCUACAUUAGGUAUUUUUCCUAAUGCUAUCCCUCCCCCAGGCCCCCACCCCCUGACAGGCCCCAGUGUGUGAUGUUCCCUUCCCUGUGUCCAUGUGUUCUCAUUGUUCAACUCCCACUUAUGAGUGAGAACAUACAGAGCUUGGUUUUCUGUUCUUGUGUUAGUUUGCUGAGAAUGAUGGUUUCCAGCUUCAUCCAUGUUCCUACAAAGGACAUGAACUUAUCCUUUUUAAAGGCUGCAUAGUAUUCCAUGGUGUCUAUGUGCCACAUUUUCUUGAUCCAGUCUAUCAUUGAUGGGCAUUUGGGUUGGUUCCAAGUCUUUGCUAUUGUGAAUAGAGCCACAAUAAACAUACAUGUGCAUGUGUCUUUAUAGUAGAAUGAUUUAUAAUCCUUUGGGUAUAUACUCAGUAAUGGGAUUGCUGAGUCAAAUGGUAGUUCUGGUUCUAGAUUCUUGAGGAAUUGCCA